Etheostoma spectabile (orangethroat darter) is the source of this 1141-nucleotide long non-coding RNA. RefSeq lists it as uncharacterized. Lineage: Eukaryota; Metazoa; Chordata; Actinopteri; Perciformes; Percidae. The record is from RefSeq and is a predicted model, not a curated record. The transcript is spliced from 2 exons.
AGAGAGCUUCAGUAGCAACUCCAUCUGGUUGUUUUAUUCCUUUUGUUUUAUGGUGACGUAGACCUAUCACACGACUUCAGACAGACGUCUAUGACCAAAUACCGUUCCUAGUACGGGGAGAGAUUAGGGUGUAGAGAUCUUCAGAGAUAGUAGAGUCGUAGAGAUCUUCAGAGAUAUGUAGAGAUCUUCAGAGAGAUGUAGAGAUCUUCAGAGAGAUGUAGAGAUCUUCAGAGAGAUGUAGAGAUCUUCAGAGAGAUGUAGAGAUCUUCAGAGAGAUGUAGAGAUCUUCAGAGAGAUGCAGAGAUCUUCAGAGAUCUUCAGACUCACCUCACAAGAACCUCCACCGACAGGUUGUCCAACGACCUUUAUUUUCCACAAAGACUGACCUUUAUCUCUGGCUAGAACCACUUCCUGGUCUUAACUUAUUGUUUUCACAACGUCUUAUUCCCAUCUUCUUUUUUAUUUUUUAUCGUAGUUUUUAUUGUUUGUAACGAGAAACGUUUUUUUAUUUCAUGGAUUUCCCUAAUUUCAGUAUGACAGUUAAACGGUUUAAAUCUGAGCAUGAGACUCACAUCGGGGGGGGGGGGGUGACGGUGUGUUCAGGGACACUGAUAUGGAGAUAUCACCAAGUCAGCUGUCACCAUAUAAGACAUCCGAACUAUCCCUUAAAUACCCCCCCCCCCCCACCCCGAGCCUCUUGUGUUGUUCUGUUCUUAUUAUUUCCAGAAGAUUCCUAGAUUUCUGAUAUUUCGGUGUUGAUGAAAUUGGACGUUCAUAAUGUUUGUGUUUGCGGUAGAAGAGACGUAGAGACGUUAUGCAGGUCAUAAGUUAUAUAUCCGGCACCAAGUAUUAUGGGAUGUACAUUUAAAGCCGUGUGUGUGUGUGUGUGUGUGUGUGUGUGUGUGUGUGUGUGUGAUUUUAAAACAAAAGUGUUGAAAUAUAAUAUAAAUGUUAUUGAUGGAACUCAGUUCUGCGAAUGUAACGUUGUUAUUCUGCACUCAUACAGCAAAGCCAAGUUUAUUAUUAUGUUUAAUUAUUUAAUUACACCUAGACAUCAAGUGUGUUAAUUACAGUAUUUGAUGGAUGUUUUGUUCGAGAGUUUACUGUAAAAUAAAUAAACAAUAAAGAUGAUUAAAAACCA